AACGAACGCUGGCGGCAUGCCUAACACAUGCAAGUCGAACGAUGCUUUCGGGCAUAGUGGCGCACGGGUGCGUAACGCGUGGGAAUCUGCCCUUGGGUUCGGAAUAACAGUGAGAAAUUGCUGCUAAUACCGGAUGAUGUCUUCGGACCAAAGAUUUAUCGCCCAGGGAUGAGCCCGCGUAGGAUUAGCUAGUUGGUGGGGUAAUGGCCUACCAAGGCGACGAUCCUUAGCUGGUCUGAGAGGAUGAUCAGCCACACUGGGACUGAGACACGGCCCAGACUCCUACGGGAGGCAGCAGUGGGGAAUAUUGGACAAUGGGCGCAAGCCUGAUCCAGCAAUGCCGCGUGAGUGAGGAAGGCCUUAGGGUUGUAAAGCUCUUUUACCCGGGAUGAUAAUGACAGUACCGGGAGAAUAAGCUCCGGCUAACUCCGUG
RNAcentral lists this ribosomal RNA (433 nucleotides) under uncultured bacterium. RNAcentral describes it as "partial 16S ribosomal RNA". It matches the Rfam family "Bacterial small subunit ribosomal RNA", at positions 29 to 507 of the family's 1533-position model. The record is from RNAcentral.